Molecule: RNA transcript, 1157 nt
Organism: Tigriopus californicus
Lineage: Eukaryota; Metazoa; Arthropoda; Copepoda; Harpacticoida; Harpacticidae
Exons: 2
Source: RefSeq, a predicted model, not a curated record
UCAGACAGGAAAUGCUUUGGAGAAGAACUCUCUUAUCUUUUAGUGUGAACUGGAUGAACAUAUCGGAUUCAGAACUAGAGAACUAGUGAAAAAUGGAACAGGAUUUGGAGUGCUUCCUCCUCUCCGAGAACGAACAUCAAGCCUAUGAUGAGUGUUGUCCUUGGGGAAUGUCCACCUUUUCAGUCUCGAAUGCCCUCAAAACUCUGCUACGAUCCAUAACUGUUCGUCUCAGAUCAGCCAGAAGGGAAUUGGUGAGUGACGGGUUAUGGACCCUCCAGAGCCAUGAUGUGCCAAAACUUUGGGCCAUGUCUUCAAAAAGCAUCCACAAAUCAGAGAAACGGGGGGCAAGUUUUGACGGCUGCUUUUAAAAAGAAUGUGACGCCACCUAGAAUCAGGCCAUUGGCGGAAGCAAAUCGCCCUCAUCUCUGUGAUUGAUGACAUUCUCAAACUAUUUACCUCCCCUUGCGGUUUGAGGAAGAUGAUCAAACUAGUCAAAACUGAUGACCAUCAUUUCAAUCCAAGGCAAGUCGGUGUGGUCACCUUGUUCAUAUUUAUUUUGGACUUGCUCAGCGAUCUCGGCCAUGUGCUCGCCGGGGAUCGAACAAUAAAACGCUUUUUCAAGAACAGGAUUGACACGGGGAUCGCUUUGUUCAUUGGAAGCCUUCUUAUCCCUUGGGCUUUCUUCUUUCUGACGAGUAAGGAGGGUAAAAUAUCCUACCUGUACGUUAUUCUCGUCACCCUUCUUGGUACUAUGACAAUGGGGCUGGUUUCCGAUCAAAUUACUCUACUUUUGUUCCUCAUGCCAAGGAAUGAAAAAUUGGAACGCGCCUUUCACAAACUGAGGAUCGAUCCAAGACUUUCCAAACCCGAGAUUAACGACCAAUUCAAGGCCAAACUGAAGCAGGCGCUUCUCAAACAGGAUCUUCCAUUGCAAACUAAACUCAAGUGGAAUAUGCUAGUCAUUAGAGAUCUGAAAUAAACAUCGAAUAUUUCAGGCAUGUUCCUAGACACCCCAAGGUUUCACAUAAUACUCGUAGAACUUGCCUUUUCGUUCCUCAUUGUCUCUAGUUUAGCUUAGAGCUCAAAAUGAUAGGGACAUCAGCCUUACAAUGGAUCCAUUUCAAGCUUUUGUUGAGGCUCGAGCUUAAGAAAAGACA